RNAcentral lists this ribosomal RNA (443 nucleotides) under uncultured bacterium. RNAcentral describes it as "partial 16S ribosomal RNA". It matches the Rfam family "Bacterial small subunit ribosomal RNA", at positions 338 to 795 of the family's 1533-position model. The record is from RNAcentral.
CCUACGGGAGGCAGCAGUGGGGAAUAUUGGGCAAUGGGCGCAAGCCUGACCCAGCAACGCCGCGUGAAGGAAGAAGGCUCUCGGGUUUUUAAACUCCUUUCAUAUGGACGUAGAAUGAGAAGGUAGUUCAGGAAUAAGUCACGGCUAACUACGUGCCAGCAGCAGCGGCAAUACGGAGGUGGCAAGAGUUAUUCGGAUUUAUUGGGUGUAAAGGGCGUGUAGGUGGGAGUGUAAGUCAGAUGUGAAAACUCAGGGCGCAACCAUGAGUCUGCAGUUGAAACUGGGUUACUUGAGUACUGGAGAGGGAGUCGGAAUUCGGGGUGUAGCGGUGAAAUGCGUAGAUAUACGGAGGAACACCAGUGGCGAAGGCAGAUUGCUAGACAAUAACUGACGCUGAGGCACGAAAGCGUGGGGAGCAAACAGGAUUAGAUACCCCAGUAGUC